This 253-nucleotide ribosomal RNA is filed under the name uncultured bacterium. RNAcentral's name for it is "partial 16S ribosomal RNA". It matches the Rfam family "Bacterial small subunit ribosomal RNA", at positions 524 to 776 of the family's 1533-position model. The record is from RNAcentral.
UACGGGGGGGGCAAGCGUUGUUCGGAAUUACUGGGCGUAAAGGGCUCGUAGGCGGCCAACUAAGUCAGACGUGAAAUCCCCAGGCUCAACCUGGGAACUGCGUCUGAUACUGGAUGGCUUGAAUUCGGGAGAGGGAUGCAGAAUUCCAGGUGUAGCGGUGAAAUGCGUAGAUAUCUGGAGGAAUACCGGUGGCGAAGGCGGCAUCCUGGACCGACAUUGACGCUGAUGAGCGAAAGCUAAGGGAGCAAACGGG